RNAcentral lists this ribosomal RNA (465 nucleotides) under Vreelandella stevensii. RNAcentral's name for it is "partial 16S ribosomal RNA". It matches the Rfam family "Bacterial small subunit ribosomal RNA", at positions 338 to 795 of the family's 1533-position model. Lineage: Bacteria; Pseudomonadati; Pseudomonadota; Gammaproteobacteria; Oceanospirillales; Halomonadaceae. The record is from RNAcentral.
CCUACGGGAGGCAGCAGUGGGGAAUAUUGGACAAUGGGGGGAACCCUGAUCCAGCCAUGCCGCGUGUGUGAAGAAGGCCCUCGGGUUGUAAAGCACUUUCAGUGAGGAAGAACGCCUGGUGGUUAAUACCCAUCAGGAAAGACAUCACUCACAGAAGAAGCACCGGCUAACUCCGUGCCAGCAGCCGCGGUAAUACGGAGGGUGCGAGCGUUAAUCGGAAUUACUGGGCGUAAAGCGCGCGUAGGUGGCUUGAUAAGCCGGUUGUGAAAGCCCCGGGCUCAACCUGGGAACGGCAUCCGGAACUGUCAAGCUAGAGUGCAGGAGAGGAAGGUAGAAUUCCCGGUGUAGCGGUGAAAUGCGUAGAGAUCGGGAGGAAUACCAGUGGCGAAGGCGGCCUUCUGGACUGAAACUGACACUGAGGUGCGAAAGCGUGGGUAGCAAACAGGAUUAGAUACCCCUGUAGUC